This 2906-nucleotide ribosomal RNA is filed under the name Escherichia coli. RNAcentral describes it as "23S ribosomal RNA". It matches the Rfam family "Bacterial large subunit ribosomal RNA". Lineage: Bacteria; Pseudomonadati; Pseudomonadota; Gammaproteobacteria; Enterobacterales; Enterobacteriaceae. The record is from RNAcentral.
GGUUAAGCGACUAAGCGUACACGGUGGAUGCCCUGGCAGUCAGAGGCGAUGAAGGACGUGCUAAUCUGCGAUAAGCGUCGGUAAGGUGAUAUGAACCGUUAUAACCGGCGAUUUCCGAAUGGGGAAACCCAGUGUGAUUCGUCACACUAUCAUUAACUGAAUCCAUAGGUUAAUGAGGCGAACCGGGGGAACUGAAACAUCUAAGUACCCCGAGGAAAAGAAAUCAACCGAGAUUCCCCCAGUAGCGGCGAGCGAACGGGGAGCAGCCCAGAGCCUGAAUCAGUGUGUGUGUUAGUGGAAGCGUCUGGAAAGGCGUGCGAUACAGGGUGACAGCCCCGUACACAAAAAUGCACAUGCUGUGAGCUCGAUGAGUAGGGCGGGACACGUGGUAUCCUGUCUGAAUAUGGGGGGACCAUCCUCCAAGGCUAAAUACUCCUGACUGACCGAUAGUGAACCAGUACCGUGAGGGAAAGGCGAAAAGAACCCCGGCGAGGGGAGUGAAAAAGAACCUGAAACCGUGUACGUACAAGCAGUGGGAGCACAGAGCAAUCUGUGUGACUGCGUACCUUUUGUAUAAUGGGUCAGCGACUUAUAUUCUGUAGCAAGGUUAACCGAAUAGGGGAGCCGAAGGGAAACCGAGUCUUAACUGGGCGUUAAGUUGCAGGGUAUAGACCCGAAACCCGGUGAUCUAGCCAUGGGCAGGUUGAAGGUUGGGUAACACUAACUGGAGGACCGAACCGACUAAUGUUGAAAAAUUAGCGGAUGACUUGUGGCUGGGGGUGAAAGGCCAAUCAAACCGGGAGAUAGCUGGUUCUCCCCGAAAGCUAUUUAGGUAGCGCCUCGUGAAUUCAUCUCCGGGGGUAGAGCACUGUUUCGGCAAGGGGGUCAUCCCGACUUACCAACCCGAUGCAAACUGCGAAUACCGGAGAAUGUUAUCACGGGAGACACACGGCGGGUGCUAACGUCCGUCGUGAAGAGGGAAACAACCCAGACCGCCAGCUAAGGUCCCAAAGUCAUGGUUAAGUGGGAAACGAUGUGGGAAGGCCCAGACAGCCAGGAUGUUGGCUUAGAAGCAGCCAUCAUUUAAAGAAAGCGUAAUAGCUCACUGGUCGAGUCGGCCUGCGCGGAAGAUGUAACGGGGCUAAACCAUGCACCGAAGCUGCGGCAGCGACGCUUAUGCGUUGUUGGGUAGGGGAGCGUUCUGUAAGCCUGCGAAGGUGUGCUGUGAGGCAUGCUGGAGGUAUCAGAAGUGCGAAUGCUGACAUAAGUAACGAUAAAGCGGGUGAAAAGCCCGCUCGCCGGAAGACCAAGGGUUCCUGUCCAACGUUAAUCGGGGCAGGGUGAGUCGACCCCUAAGGCGAGGCCGAAAGGCGUAGUCGAUGGGAAACAGGUUAAUAUUCCUGUACUUGGUGUUACUGCGAAGGGGGGACGGAGAAGGCUAUGUUGGCCGGGCGACGGUUGUCCCGGUUUAAGCGUGUAGGCUGGUUUUCCAGGCAAAUCCGGAAAAUCAAGGCUGAGGCGUGAUGACGAGGCACUACGGUGCUGAAGCAACAAAUGCCCUGCUUCCAGGAAAAGCCUCUAAGCAUCAGGUAACAUCAAAUCGUACCCCAAACCGACACAGGUGGUCAGGUAGAGAAUACCAAGGCGCUUGAGAGAACUCGGGUGAAGGAACUAGGCAAAAUGGUGCCGUAACUUCGGGAGAAGGCACGCUGAUAUGUAGGUGAAGUCCCUCGCGGAUGGAGCUGAAAUCAGUCGAAGAUACCAGCUGGCUGCAACUGUUUAUUAAAAACACAGCACUGUGCAAACACGAAAGUGGACGUAUACGGUGUGACGCCUGCCCGGUGCCGGAAGGUUAAUUGAUGGGGUUAGCGCAAGCGAAGCUCUUGAUCGAAGCCCCGGUAAACGGCGGCCGUAACUAUAACGGUCCUAAGGUAGCGAAAUUCCUUGUCGGGUAAGUUCCGACCUGCACGAAUGGCGUAAUGAUGGCCAGGCUGUCUCCACCCGAGACUCAGUGAAAUUGAACUCGCUGUGAAGAUGCAGUGUACCCGCGGCAAGACGGAAAGACCCCGUGAACCUUUACUAUAGCUUGACACUGAACAUUGAGCCUUGAUGUGUAGGAUAGGUGGGAGGCUUUGAAGUGUGGACGCCAGUCUGCAUGGAGCCGACCUUGAAAUACCACCCUUUAAUGUUUGAUGUUCUAACGUUGACCCGUGAUCCGGGUUGCGGACAGUGUCUGGUGGGUAGUUUGACUGGGGCGGUCUCCUCCUAAAGAGUAACGGAGGAGCACGAAGGUUGGCUAAUCCUGGUCGGACAUCAGGAGGUUAGUGCAAUGGCAUAAGCCAGCUUGACUGCGAGCGUGACGGCGCGAGCAGGUGCGAAAGCAGGUCAUAGUGAUCCGGUGGUUCUGAAUGGAAGGGCCAUCGCUCAACGGAUAAAAGGUACUCCGGGGAUAACAGGCUGAUACCGCCCAAGAGUUCAUAUCGACGGCGGUGUUUGGCACCUCGAUGUCGGCUCAUCACAUCCUGGGGCUGAAGUAGGUCCCAAGGGUAUGGCUGUUCGCCAUUUAAAGUGGUACGCGAGCUGGGUUUAGAACGUCGUGAGACAGUUCGGUCCCUAUCUGCCGUGAGCGCUGGAGAACUGAGGGGGGCUGCUCCUAGUACGAGAGGACCGGAGUGGACGCAUCACUGGUGUUCGGGUUGUCAUGCCAAUGGCACUGCCCGGUAGCUAAAUGCGGAAGAGAUAAGUGCUGAAAGCAUCUAAGCACGAAACUUGCCCCGAGAUGAGUUCUCCCUGACUCCUUGAGAGUCCUGAAGGAACGUUGAAGACGACGACGUUGAUAGGCCGGGUGUGUAAGCGCAGCGAUGCGUUGAGCUAACCGGUACUAAUGAACCGUGAGGCUUAACCUU